This 253-nucleotide ribosomal RNA is filed under the name uncultured bacterium. RNAcentral's name for it is "partial 16S ribosomal RNA". It matches the Rfam family "Bacterial small subunit ribosomal RNA", at positions 524 to 776 of the family's 1533-position model. The record is from RNAcentral.
UACGUAGGGCGCAAGCGUUGUCCGGAAUUAUUGGGCGUAAAGAGCUCGUAGGCGGCUUGUCACGUCGGGUGUGAAAGCCCGGGGCUUAACCCCGGGUCUGCAUUCGAUACGGGCUGGCUGGAGUGUGGUAGGGGAGAUCGGAAUUCCUGGUGUAGCGGUGAAAUGCGCAGAUAUCAGGAGGAACACCAGUGGCGAAGGCGGCUAUCUGGACGGUUUCUGACGCUAAGACGCGAAAGCGUGGGGAGCAAACAGG